GAUGAAGAACGUAGCGAAAUGCGAUAAGUAGUGUGAAUUGCAGAAUUCAGUGAAUCAUCGAAUCUUUGAACGCACAUUGCGCCUCCUGGUAUUCCGGGAGGCAUGCCUGUUCGAGCGUCAUUAAAAUCACUCAAGCUUAGGUUUACCUAUUGCUUGGUCUUGGAGAUGGAAGCCAAUUUAUUGGAAUCCUCUUCGAAAUUCAAUGGCGAAGACCCUUGCUCUCCCAAGUGUAGUAAUAACUUAUGUCACUGAAGGAAGCGAGAAAUCUUCUGCCGUAACCCCCAUAUUUUCUAUGAUUGACCUCGGAUCAGGUAGGGAUACCCGCUGAACUUAAGCAUAUCAAUAAGAGGAGGA
Molecule: unclassified non-coding RNA, 354 nt
Filed under: soil metagenome
Description: partial contains 5.8S ribosomal RNA, internal transcribed spacer 2, and large subunit ribosomal RNA
Rfam family: 5.8S ribosomal RNA (bases 1-120)
Source: RNAcentral